Molecule: ribosomal RNA, 253 nt
Filed under: uncultured bacterium
Lineage: Bacteria
Description: partial 16S ribosomal RNA
Rfam family: Bacterial small subunit ribosomal RNA
Source: RNAcentral
UACAGAGGUGGCAAGCGUUGUUCGGAAUUACUGGGCGUAAAGGGCGCGUAGGCGGCCUUCUAAGUCAGACGUGAAAUCCCCCGGCUUAACCUGGGAACUGCGUCUGAUACUGGAGGGCUUGAGUGCGGGAGAGGGAUGUGGAAUUCCAGGUGUAGCGGUGAAAUGCGUAGAUAUCCGGAAGAACACCGAUGGCGAAGGCAACCACCUGGGCCUGCACUGACGCUGAGGUACGAAAGCGUGGGGAGCAAACAGG